Merluccius polli (Benguela hake) is the source of this 72-nucleotide non-coding RNA. NCBI's taxonomy places the organism in Eukaryota, Metazoa, Chordata, Actinopteri, Gadiformes, Merlucciidae. The record is from the annotation of a GenBank genome assembly.
ACAGAAAACAUUGAAUGGUUAGUGGUUUGACUCCCAGCCAAAAGGUUCUGGGUUCGAUCCCCAGUGUCUGUA